CCUACGGGAGGCAGCAGUGGGGAAUAUUGGACAAUGGGGGGAACCCUGAUCCAGCCAUGCCGCGUGUGUGAAGAAGGCCCUCGGGUUGUAAAGCACUUUCAGUGAGGAAGAACGCCUGGUGGUUAAUACCCAUCAGGAAAGACAUCACUCACAGAAGAAGCACCGGCUAACUCCGUGCCAGCAGCCGCAGUAAUACGGAGGGUGCGAGCGUUAAUCGGAAUUACUGGGCGUAAAGCGCGCGUAGGUGGCUUGAUAAGCCGGUUGUGAAAGCCCCGGGCUCAACCUGGGAACGGCAUCCGGAACUGUCAAGCUAGAGUGCAGGAGAGGAAGGUAGAAUUCCCGGUGUAGCGGUGAAAUGCGUAGAGAUCGGGAGGAAUACCAGUGGCGAAGGCGGCCUUCUGGACUGACACUGACACUGAGGUGCGAAAGCGUGGGUAGCAAACAGGAUUAGAUACCCCUGUAGUC
Molecule: ribosomal RNA, 465 nt
Filed under: Vreelandella stevensii
Lineage: Bacteria; Pseudomonadati; Pseudomonadota; Gammaproteobacteria; Oceanospirillales; Halomonadaceae
Description: partial 16S ribosomal RNA
Rfam family: Bacterial small subunit ribosomal RNA
Source: RNAcentral